This 259-nucleotide ribosomal RNA is filed under the name uncultured bacterium. RNAcentral describes it as "partial small subunit ribosomal RNA". It matches the Rfam family "Bacterial small subunit ribosomal RNA", at positions 26 to 286 of the family's 1533-position model. The record is from RNAcentral.
AGGACGAACGCUGGCGGCGUGCUUAACACAUGCAAGUCGAACGGUGAAGGGACCUUCGGGUCCCGGAUCAGUGGCGAACGGGUGAGUAACACGUGGGCAACCUGCCCCUAGCUCUGGAAUAACCCCGGGAAACCGAGGCUAAUACCGGAUACGACCCUGCGCGGCAUCGCGCGGGGUGGAAAGUUUUUCGGCUAGGGAUGGGCUCGCGGCCUAUCAGCUUGUUGGUGGGGUAACGGCCCACCAAGGCGACAACGGGUAG